AGAGUUUGAUCCUGGCUCAGAUUGAACGCUGGCGGCAGGCCUAACACAUGCAAGUCGAGCGGAUGAGAAGAGCUUGCUCUUCGAUUCAGCGGCGGACGGGUGAGUAAUGCCUAGGAAUCUGCCUGGUAGUGGGGGACAACGUUUCGAAAGGAACGCUAAUACCGCAUACGUCCUACGGGAGAAAGCAGGGGACCUUCGGGCCUCUCACUAUCGGAUGAACCCAGAUGGGAUUAGCUAGUAGGCGGGGUAAUGGCCCACCUAGGCGACGAUCCCUAGCUGGUCUGAGAGGAUGACCAGCCACACUGGAACUGAGACACGGUCCAGACUCCUACGGGAGGCAGCAGUGGGGAAUAUUGCACAAUGGGCGCAAGCCUGAUGCAGCCAUGCCGCGUGUAUGAAGAAGGCCUUCGGGUUGUAAAGUACUUUCAGCGGGGAGGAAGGCGAUGUGGUUAAUAACCGCAUCGAUUGACGUUACCCGCAGAAGAAGCACCGGCUAACUCCGUGCCAGCAGCCGCGGUAAU
This 521-nucleotide ribosomal RNA is filed under the name uncultured endophytic bacterium. RNAcentral's name for it is "bacterial SSU rRNA". It matches the Rfam family "Bacterial small subunit ribosomal RNA", at positions 8 to 524 of the family's 1533-position model. The record is from RNAcentral.